GAUGAACGCUGGCGGCGUGCCUAAUACAUGCAAGUCGAGCGAACGGACGAGAAGCUUGCUUUUCUGAUGUUAGCGGCGGACGGGUGAGUAACACGUGGAUAACCUACCUAUAAGACUGGGAUAACUUCGGGAAACCGGAGCUAAUACCGGAUAAUAUUUUGAACCGCAUGGUUCAAAAGUGAAAGACGGUCUUGCUGUCACUUAUAGAUGGAUCCGCGCUGCAUUAGCUAGUUGGUAAGGUAACGGCUUACCAAGGCAACGAUGCAUAGCCGACCUGAGAGGGUGAUCGGCCACACUGGAACUGAGACACGGUCCAGACUCCUACGGGAGGCAGCAGUAGGGAAUCUUCCGCAAUGGGCGAAAGCCUGACGGAGCAACGCCGCGUGAGUGAUGAAGGUCUUCGGAGCGUAAAACUCUGUUAUUAGGGAAGAACAUAUGUGUAAGGAACUGUGCACAUCUUGACGGUACCUAAUCAGAAAGCCACGGCUAACUACGUG
Molecule: ribosomal RNA, 497 nt
Filed under: uncultured bacterium
Lineage: Bacteria
Description: partial 16S ribosomal RNA
Rfam family: Bacterial small subunit ribosomal RNA
Source: RNAcentral